RNAcentral lists this long non-coding RNA (788 nucleotides) under Physcomitrium patens. Its description in RNAcentral is "long non-coding RNA (PPAT_LNC003677)". Lineage: Eukaryota; Viridiplantae; Streptophyta; Bryopsida; Funariales; Funariaceae. The record is from RNAcentral.
UCUAAUAAAAUUAUCAAACAUCAAGAGUCUCUUUUAAGGUUGUGAUACCAAGCGCAUUGUAUCUUAUCAUCUAUUUAAGAAAAAACAUGUCAUUCUUAAAGUUUCUCAUCUCAAUUACGUUGUCAUAAUAUGUGAAGUCUUGCUUGAGAAUGCUCCGAGCAUCUGGCUGUAGAAGAUAGAAUGGAAAUUACAACAACAAAAUCCUAAUUCUAAUAGAAUACUAACAAUUCUAAAUAAGCUUUAAUCAAAUUCAAAGAAAUCUCAAAGAAAUUUUAAAGAAACAAUAAAAAAACUUAAAAAAAUAUUAGAAUUAUUACAAAUAUAUCUCAAAUACAUCUCAAUUCAAUCUUAAUUUCAUCCUAGUUAAAAUCCUAUUGGACUUCAUUCAAUCUUUAAGCCAAAACUAACUAAAUCUUAAAUCUUAACAAACUCUAAUAAAAUCCUAAAUCCUAAACUAAACCCUAAACAAAUCCUAAACCAAAUUCCAACCAAAUCCUAAAUCAAAUCCUAAUCAAACCUUAAAUCCUAAAUCAAAUCCUAAACCUAAACCAAAUCCCAACCAAAUCCUAAACCAAAUCCUAAAUCCUAAAUCCUAAAUCAAACUCUAAACAAAUCCUAUAUCAAAUCCUAAACCAAAUCCUAAAAACUAAAUCAAAUCUUAACCAAAUCUUAAUCCUAAAUCAAAUCCUAAACCUAAACCAAACUCUAAUCAAACCCUAAAUCCUAAAUCAAAUCCUAAUCAAACUCUAAACCUUAAACCAAAUCUUAACCAAAUUCUAAAUCCUAAA